RNAcentral lists this ribosomal RNA (447 nucleotides) under uncultured bacterium. RNAcentral's name for it is "bacterial SSU rRNA". It matches the Rfam family "Bacterial small subunit ribosomal RNA", at positions 360 to 793 of the family's 1533-position model. The record is from RNAcentral.
AAUAUUGCACAAUGGGCGCAAGCCUGAUGCAGCCAUGCCGCGUGUAUGAAGAAGGCCUUCGGGUGUAAAGACGUUUCAGCAGUGAGGAAGGUGGAGUAUGUUAAUAGCAUAUUCAUUGACGUUAGACUGCAGAAGAAGCACCGGCUAACUCCGUGCCAGCAGCCGCGGUAAUACGGAGGGUGCGAGCGUUAAUCGGAAUUACUGGGCGUAAAGCGCAUGCAGGUGGUUUGUUAAGUCAGAUGUGAAAGCCCGGGGCUCAACCUCGGAAUUGCAUUUGAAACUGGCAAACUAGAGUACUGUAGAGGGGGUAGAAUUUCAGGUGUAGCGGUGAAAUGCGUAGAGAUCUGAAGGAAUACCGGUGGCGAAGGCGGACCCCCCUGGACAGAUACUGACACUCAGAUUGCGAAAGCGUGGGGAGCUAAACCAGGAUUAGAUACCCCUCGGUAG